GACGAACGCUGGCGGCGUGCCUAAUACAUGCAAGUAGAACGCUGACGGAGGAGCUUGCUUCUCUGGAUGAGUUGCGAACGGGUGAGUAACGCGUAGGUAACCUGCCUGGUAGUGGGGGAUAACUAUUGGAAACGAUAGCUAAUACCGCAUAAUAGCAGUUGUUGCAUGAUAACUGUUUGAAAGGUGCAAUUGCACCGCUACCAGAUGGACCUGCGUUGUAUUAGCUAGUUGGUGGGGUAACGGCUCACCAAGGCGACGAUACAUAGCCGACCUGAGAGGGUGAUCGGCCACACUGGGACUGAGACACGGCCCAGACUCCUACGGGAGGCAGCAGUAGGGAAUCUUCGGCAAUGGACGGAAGUCUGACCGAGCAACGCCGCGUGAGUGAAGAAGGUUUUCGGAUCGUAAAGCUCUGUUGUAAGAGAAGAACGAGUGUGAGAGUGGAAAGUUCACACUGUGACGGUAUCUUACCAGAAAGGGACGGCUAACUACGUG
RNAcentral lists this ribosomal RNA (495 nucleotides) under uncultured bacterium. Its description in RNAcentral is "partial 16S ribosomal RNA". It matches the Rfam family "Bacterial small subunit ribosomal RNA", at positions 28 to 507 of the family's 1533-position model. The record is from RNAcentral.